GGCCUUUUGUUUAUGAUUUAAGGUCUAGCCUGCCCAAUGAGAUUUUGAAUGGCCGCGGUAUUUUAACCGUGCAAAGGUAGCAUAAUCAUUAGUUUUUUAAUUAAAAGCUGGUAUGAAUGGUUGAAUGAAAAAAUAACUGUCUCUAUUUAAAUUUUUUAGAAUUUUAUUUUUAAGUAAAAAAGCUUAAAUUAUAUUAGAAGACGAGAAGACCCUGUAGAGUUUAAUUAAUUAUUAUAAUAGGAUUUUUAGUAUUCUUAUUUUUAUUAUUUAUAAUUAAUUUAGUUGGGGUGAUUUAAAAAUUUAAUAAACUUUUUUUAUAUUUAUACAUUAAUUUAUGAUUACUUGAUCCUUAUUUUAAGAUUAAAAGAUAAAAUUACCUUAGGGAUAACAGCGUAAUUUUUUUAGAGAGUUCUAAUCGAAAAAAAAGAUUGCGACCUCGAUGUUGGAUUAAAAUAAAAAUUUGGUGUAGAAGCUAAAGUAUUUAGGUCUGUUCGACCUUUAAAAUUUUACAUGAUCUGAGUUUAAACCGGCGUAAGCCAGGUUGGUUUCUAUCUCUAUUUUAAAUAAAUAUUUUAGUACGAAAGGACCAAAUAUUAGGUUUAAAAUUUUAUAUUUGAAUAUAAUU
RNAcentral lists this ribosomal RNA (625 nucleotides) under Falklandius sp. FAM1. Its description in RNAcentral is "partial 16S ribosomal RNA". It matches the Rfam family "Bacterial large subunit ribosomal RNA", at positions 1819 to 2739 of the family's 2925-position model. Lineage: Eukaryota; Metazoa; Arthropoda; Insecta; Coleoptera; Curculionidae. The record is from RNAcentral.